UGGGGAAUAUUGCACAAUGGGCGAAAGCCUGAUGCAGCAACGCCGCGUGAGUGAUGAAGGCCUUCGGGUCGUAAAACUCUGUCCUCAAGGAAGAUAAUGACGGUACUUGAGGAGGAAGCCCCGGCUAGCUACGUGCCAGCAGCCGCGGUAAUACGUAGGGGGCUAGCGUUAUCCGGAUUUACUGGGCGUAAAGGGUGCGUAGGUGGUUUCUUAAGUCAGGAGUGAAAGGCUACGGCUUAACCGUAGUAAGCUCUUGAAACUGGGAAGCUUGAGUGCAGGAGAGGAAAGUGGAAUUCCUAGUGUAGCGGUGAAAUGCGUAGAUAUUAGGAGGAACACCAGUAGCGAAGGCGGCUUUCUGGACUGUAACUGACACUGAGGCACGAAAGCGUGGGGAGCAAACA
This 401-nucleotide ribosomal RNA is filed under the name uncultured prokaryote. Its description in RNAcentral is "bacterial SSU rRNA". It matches the Rfam family "Bacterial small subunit ribosomal RNA", at positions 355 to 774 of the family's 1533-position model. The record is from RNAcentral.